UGGGCGGUAUCCAUUUGGAACUGCACCGUAAUACUUAUUAAAAUAGCGGAUCUGCCUUGAUCCAGUUUGGACUAGGACAGAGGG
The sequence is a regulatory RNA element, 84 nucleotides long. It matches the Rfam family "pan motif". The record is from Rfam.